This 217-nucleotide ribosomal RNA is filed under the name uncultured bacterium. RNAcentral's name for it is "partial 16S ribosomal RNA". It matches the Rfam family "Bacterial small subunit ribosomal RNA", at positions 118 to 334 of the family's 1533-position model. The record is from RNAcentral.
UAUGUAACCUACCCUUAGUCAGGGGGAUAGCCUCUCGAAAGAGAGAUUAAGCCCGCAUAACAUUGAGACAUAGCAUUAUGAUUCAAUCAAAUAUUUAUAGGAUAAGGAUGGGCAUGCGGAACAUUAGCUAGUUGGUAAGGUAACGGCUUACCAAGGCUACGAUGUUUAGGGGAUCUGAGAGGAUGACCCCCCACACUGGUACUGAGACACGGACCAG